Molecule: ribosomal RNA, 492 nt
Filed under: uncultured bacterium
Lineage: Bacteria
Description: partial 16S ribosomal RNA
Rfam family: Bacterial small subunit ribosomal RNA
Source: RNAcentral
AGUGAGCGCUGGCGGUAGGCCUAACACAUGCAAGUCGAACGGCAGCACAGUAAGAGCUUGCUCUUACGGGUGGCGAGUGGCGGACGGGUGAGGAAUACAUCGGAAUCUACUUUUUCGUGGGGGAUAACGUAGGGAAACUUACGCUAAUACCGCAUACUACCUACGGGUGAAAGCAGGGGAUCUUCGGACCUUGCGCGAUUGAAUGAGCCGAUGUCGGAUUAGCUAGUUGGCGGGGUAAAGGCCCACCAAGGCGACGAUCCGUAGCUGGUCUGAGAGGAUGAUCAGCCACACUGGAACUGAGACACGGUCCAGACUCCUACGGGAGGCAGCAGUGGGGAAUAUUGGACAAUGGGCGCAAGCCUGAUCCAGCCAUACCGCGUGGGUGAAGAAGGCCUUCGGGUUGUAAAGCCCUUUUGUUGGGAAAGAAAAGCAGCAGGUUAAUACCCCGCUGUUCUGACGGUACCCAAAGAAUAAGCACCGGCUAACUUCGUG